AUUGAACGCUGGCGGCAGGCCUAACACAUGCAAGUCGAACGAGUGGCGGACGGGUGAGUAAUGUAUGGGAAACUGCCCGAUGGAGGGGGAUAACUACUGGAAACGGUUGCUAAUACCGCAUACCAUCGGAUGUGCCCAGAUGGGAUUAGCUUGUUGGUGGGGUAAAGGCUCACCAAGGCGACGAUCCCUAGCUGGUCUGAGAGGAUGACAAGCCACACGGGGACUGAGACACGGCCCAGACUCCUACGUGAGGCAGCAGUGGGGAAUAGUGCACAAUGGGGGAAAGCCUGAUGCAGCCAUGCCGCGUGUAUGAAGAAGGCCUUCGGGUUGUAAAGUACUUUCAGCGGGGAGGCGUUACCCGCAGAAGAAGCACCGGCUAACUCCGUGCCAGCAGCCGCGGUAAUAC
RNAcentral lists this ribosomal RNA (406 nucleotides) under uncultured bacterium. Its description in RNAcentral is "partial 16S ribosomal RNA". It matches the Rfam family "Bacterial small subunit ribosomal RNA", at positions 30 to 526 of the family's 1533-position model. The record is from RNAcentral.